UUUUGUGCUAUUUUCAAAACGGAGGAAAAGAAACCAACCGGGAUUGCCUUAGUAACGGCGAGUGAAGCGGCAAAAGCUCAAAUUUGAAAUCUGGUACCUUCGGUGCCCGAGUUGUAAUUUGUAGAAGGCGACUCUGGGGCUGGUCCUUGUCUAUGUUCCUUGGAACAGGACGUCAUGGAGGGUGAAAAUCCCGUAUGGCGAGGAUCCCAGUUCUUUGUAGAGUGCCUUCGAAGAGUCGAGUUGUUUGGGAAUGCAGCUCUAAGUGGGUGGUAAAUUCCAUCUAAAGCUAAAUAUUGGCGAGAGACCGAUAGCGAACAAGUACAGUGAUGGAAAGAUGAAAAGAACUUUGAAAAGAGAGUGAAAAAGUACGUGAAAUUGUUGAAAGGGAAGGGCAUUUGAUCAGACAUGGUGUUUUGCGCCCCUCGCCUCUCGUGGGUGGGGGAAUCUCGCAGCUCACUGGGCCAGCAUCAGUUUUGGCGGCAGGAUAAAUCCCUGGGAAUGUAGCUCUACCACUUCGUGGCGGACGAACUUAUAGUCCAGGGGAAUACUGCCAGCUGGGACUGAGGAAUGCGACUUUUUUAGUCAAGGAUGCUGGCAUAAUGGUUAUAUGCCGCCCGUCUUGAACACCCGAAACAAAAAAAA
Molecule: ribosomal RNA, 642 nt
Filed under: Zygosaccharomyces parabailii
Lineage: Eukaryota; Fungi; Ascomycota; Saccharomycetes; Saccharomycetales; Saccharomycetaceae
Description: partial 26S ribosomal RNA
Rfam family: Eukaryotic large subunit ribosomal RNA
Source: RNAcentral